UACGGGGGGGGUAAGCGUUGUUCGGAAUUACUGGGCGUAAAGGGCUCGUAGGCGGCCAACUAAGUCAGACGUGAAAUCCCUAGGCUCAACCUAGGAACUGCGUCUGAUACUGGAUGGCUUGAAUCCGGGAGAGGGAUGCAGAAUUCCAGGUGUAGCGGUGAAAUGCGUAGAUAUCUGGAGGAAUACCGGUGGCGAAGGCGGCAUCCUGGACCGGCAUUGACGCUGAGGAGCGAAAGCCAGGGGAGCAAACGGG
Molecule: ribosomal RNA, 253 nt
Filed under: uncultured bacterium
Lineage: Bacteria
Description: partial 16S ribosomal RNA
Rfam family: Bacterial small subunit ribosomal RNA
Source: RNAcentral